GAUGAACGCUGGCGGCGUGCCUAAUACAUGCAAGUCGAGCGAACAGAUGAGGAGCUUGCUCCUCUGACGUUAGCGGCGGACGGGUGAGUAACACGUGGAUAACCUACCUAUAAGACUGGGAUAACUUCGGGAAACCGGAGCUAAUACCGGAUAAUAUAUUGAACCGCAUGGUUCAAUAGUGAAAGACGGUUUUGCUGUCACUUAUAGAUGGAUCCGCGCCGCAUUAGCUAGUUGGUAAGGUAACGGCUUACCAAGGCAACGAUGCGUAGCCGACCUGAGAGGGGGGAUCGGCCACCCUGGAACUGAGCACCGUCCCAGACUCCAACGGGAGGCAGCAGUAGGGAACCUUCCGAAAUGGGCGAAAGCCUGACGGAGCAACGCCGGUGGGGUGAGGAAGGUCUUCGGAUCGUAAAACUCUUUUAUUAGGGAAGAAAAAAUGUGUAAGUAACUAUGCACGUUUGGACGGUACCUAAUAAGAAAGCCCCGGCGAACUACGU
This 497-nucleotide ribosomal RNA is filed under the name uncultured bacterium. RNAcentral's name for it is "partial 16S ribosomal RNA". It matches the Rfam family "Bacterial small subunit ribosomal RNA", at positions 28 to 506 of the family's 1533-position model. The record is from RNAcentral.